Molecule: long non-coding RNA, 874 nt
Filed under: Calidris pygmaea (Spoon-billed sandpiper)
Lineage: Eukaryota; Metazoa; Chordata; Aves; Charadriiformes; Scolopacidae
Description: lncRNA (ENSCPGG00000017875.1)
Source: RNAcentral
AAAGCAUGUAUUAUUAUAUCACUUAAGAUAUUUAACAAACUACUAAACCACACUCUUUUCUUCUUGCAUCAAUUGGCUUGAGGCAGAGCAUCAGAAACAGUAAACAUUUGUUUUACUUUGAAACAAUUAAUGUUAAUAAAAGGCGUCAGGAUUAAUCUGAAAGAAAAAAGAUCUUUGAAUCUUUCAUCCAGAUUCCCAAUGUCAUUAAUAUCAACAUAAGCCCAGAAGACUCUUAAACUCUUUGGAGUCUCUUCAAGAUAUAGACUAGUUGCUUGCAAUUAGAAUCCAGAUUAACUGGUGCCUAAUAUUCCUUGUAAAAAUAAAAAUGCAAACAUAGAAGUACAAAACUAUUCUGUUAGUAAGAGAAUCUACAUUAAUCAUUAAAAAUUGAAUUCAAAAUAAAUUGCACAGAGACAAUAGCUUUGUUCAUUACUCUUACUUUGUUUAAGGGUUCAAAUUUGGUUUGGGUUUAAGAUGCUCAUAUAUCUGUGUUUAUAUUUUAGUGCAGGAUAUUCAGAAUUUUUUAUCCUACAACAUUCUCUAACAGGUUGUAUGUAUUAUGAAGCUUGACAACCAACCAGAUGAGCAUGGUUGAUUAAGUUACCCUACUUCCUGAUUUACGUUACUAAAGCUUUUGGAGAUUCCCAAGUGGAAUAUAUAAAACAAAGCAAGAAAGUCCUGUUUUAUUCCACCAGGAGGAAAAUCAGUAAAUGUUAUCUAGCCCUUUAUAUGGAACUUUCUAAUAUGUUCUUUGGAGAGGACCGAACCCUGCAUUCAAUUAUGCAUGAUAUGCUGCAGGCACUCCAAGAAUGAGCUUUGGGGUAUUUAAGGGAUCCACUAAAGCUCAGAAAUAAAACAUGGGUCAUCUAGAACA